Molecule: RNA transcript, 1972 nt
Organism: Cercocebus atys (sooty mangabey)
Lineage: Eukaryota; Metazoa; Chordata; Mammalia; Primates; Cercopithecidae
Gene name: ubiquitin-conjugating enzyme E2 B-like
Exons: 4
Source: RefSeq, a predicted model, not a curated record
CCUGAAAUCUCUGGCCCGGAUACGUCCCUCUUUCUCCACCCCGCCGAGCCUAAACUAGAGACGGGGAGGCAGACAGAAUAGUGUGUCGGUUUCGUGGUCUCUGAAUCCACAACCUCUAGUCUGAACACAGAGAACACAAAUUUGUCGAUCACUUCAGGAAGCCCAGGAAGAACCACGCCCCGCUGAAGGGCUCAGGGAACGCGCGCUCCCCCGUCCCGCCCCCUCCUCCCCCAGCACUCACUCUGUGGUAGCGGCGGAGGGCGGAGGGAUCCGGAGGCGGCGGAGGGAGACGUCAUUGCAGGGUUGUUUGUCAGUCUCGGCGGCGGCGGCGGCGGCGGCGGCGGCGGCAGCGGCGAUCCACAGUGAUUCGGCCGCCGCGCCGGGGGGUGGGGGGGCUGCGCGGGACUCUUUUCUUUCAGACUGACCGCGGGGCAGCUGCGGAGCAUGUCGACCCCGGCCCGGAGGAGGCUUAUGCGGGAUUUCAAGCGGUUACAAGAGGACCCACCUGUGGGUGUCAGUGGCGCACCAUCUGAAAACAACAUCAUGCAGUGGAAUGCAGUUAUAUUUGGUGUAUGCUGAUGGUAGCAUAUGUUUAGAUAUCCUUCAGAAUCGAUGGAGUCCAACAUACGAUGUAUCUUCUAUCUUAACAUCAAUUCAGUCUCUGCUGGAUGAACCGAAUCCUAACAGUCCAGCCAAUAGCCAGGCAGCACAGCUUUAUCAGGAAAACAAACGAGAAUAUGAGAAAAGAGUUUCGGCCAUUGUUGAACAAAGCUGGAAUGAUUCAUAAUAGACAACUGGUCUGUUAAUCUUUUUCAUCAUUGUUGUGUAUAAUUUACCUCUCAGUAGAAAGGCUAACAAAUUUUAAGUGCCACAGGUUUUAAGGAUUCUGCAGAAAAAAAAGAAAAAAGUCCUUCAGUUUAGAACCUACAAAAGCUUGUGUAUCUUGAUUAAUGUACUUUUUAUUGCAUGGUGUGAACUAAGUUAUUGCUGCAUAAAUUUGUAAUAUAUCCUGUUUGUAUUUUUUUCCAAGUGUAUAAUGUUGGUGUGGAGUUUUCAUGACAGAAUAUACACAUUUUGUAAAUCUGUACUUUUUUCAAAUAUUGAAUGCCUUAUUUUUGAAUUCUUUAGAUUUUUAAAUUGGAGAAAAGCACUUAAAGUUUUUUAUAUAUGAAUAUUACAUGUAAAGCUGUUAAAAUACAUAACUUCAGUGCAAGAGACUUUGUCACUUAUUUCCUUAUGUGUGUAGGAGGGGUUAAUAAGUCUCUAGCUCUCCAUCUAUUGAUAGUUUCAUUUACAAUUUCAAAAGAACAUUCUUACAUUUUAUCAAGGAAGUCUUCAAAUUUGAUUCUAAAUAGCAAUUAUAAUCUCCAACUUUAUUUUGAAUGUACCUAUAUUAGUUUCAAUUGAGUAAUUCUAGACAUAACUGGUUUGGUUCUGUCCAACUCUGUAUUUAGGCCAUUUGUUACAGUUUCUUCAUGCAUUACUUACUGUUAAAACUGUACCUUUUGCGGUUUCACAGUUAGCACUUCUGCCACAAGCAGAGAACUGACGCGACUUGUUUUGCUGCUUGGUAGCACUUUAAAAAAUUUUUGAUUAACGAAGAAAGUAAAACCAUAAACAUUUGCCAAAAAUUCAUGCCCCAGUAUUAGCAAUGAAUUGAUUGCAUUGGUUUGAGAAAGGCACAUCUUGGAGGGAAAUCUUGGUGUAACUUAAAUAUUUGAAAAUUACCUUUAAUGCAAUGCAUAUCUGUUUAUUCUGGGAAAUGUUUUAAUGCCAGGGCCUGCUGAGUUGCUUCUUCUUGUGGAGAUUUUUUUUUUUUUUAAUCUCCUGAGUUGUAUAAAAGUUGUACUGCAUCUUAGUUUACUGGAUAAAUUUAAAACACAGUAUUGUAGAAAGCUAAUACAAAACUAUCCUAUGCCUUCAAAUAGUAUAGAAAAUGGAAAAUAUACAAGUAAAUUCUGUUGAACCACCU